UGGCACUGUGUUGUAAUGAGUUAAGCUUCCUCUUGCAACUCUGGCAUCCUCUAUGAACGCAGGUUCAUGUUCCAAUUGCUCCAUUUUGGAUUGAGUUCCCUGCUAAAGCACCUGAGAAAGCAGUGGAAGAUGGCCCAUGUCCUUGGAUCCCUGAACCCACAUGGAAGACCUGGAUGAAGUUUCUGGCUCCUGGCUUUAUCCUGGGCCAGUCCUGGCCUUCCUGGUCAUUUGGGGAGUGAACCAGUGGAUGGAACAUUUCUCUCUGUAUGUAACUCUGCCUUUCAAAUAAAUAAAAUAAAUUAUUUAGAAAUUAAAUGUUCUCAGUGAUAAUUUUUCUAUAAUUUUGUAACUUGAAUUCCUCAUUAUAUUGAAAUUCACUUUUAAUACAGGGGAAUUUAAAAUAGCAAAUUUGCAAAUAUAAAACAUGAUUUCUGGAAUAUCAAGUGAAUUGCUGCAAGAUUAUUUGCACUCAUAAAUUUAUGCUCAUAUUCUUACAACUGUUAAAUUUCUAAAGAAACUAAAGAGAAGAAAAUCAGUAAAUGUUUUUUUUGUGUGUGAUAAUGAACCAGUUUUUUCUAACCACCAACUAUUUGAAUCUGGAAUUAUUCAACCAAGCAUAGAAAUGUUCCCAAUAAAUAAGCCUCAGUAAUCAAGACUAUGCAGAGUCAAUAAAUGAAAGGGUUCUCUUUUUCCUUGUUUCAUCUACACUGAAAAUCUGCAGACUGUUUAAGAAAUCAGUUACAAUGAAGAUCUUUUUCUUUCCCUCCAUGUUUCUCUUCUUUGGUGUCCUCAUUCUACCAGUGGGCUCUAGACUUCGUUUUACCAUCCCUGGUACCAUUCCUACAGGAUUGACAACAAUAUGUAUUCCAAACCUUCGAAUAUUAGAAAUGAAGGCAACUUCUUCCCCAAUAUCUAAAAGCAAACAACUUGAGAAAAAAGAAUUCAGCACAGCCAACCGUAUACAGAUCCCGACGGAAAUCAAUUGGUGGCAAGCUUGUUUAUAUAUUGGUGGACAAUGUAGACCUCAGUGUGGUAACAAAGAGUUUAGACUUUCAUUCUGUGAAAGUCCUAAAUUUGCUUGCUGUUUAAGAGAAUGUGAUCCAAACAACAAGGUAUAAUUGAAGAGACACAGAUGCAAGAAGCAGAGACAUCUUAAUUAAGUCUUUCUAUCAUUGCAUUACUUCAUUUAUGGUCUAGUAUUUCUGUGCAUGUAUAUCUAUAAAGAAUUAAAAAAAUUAAACAAAAUAUUUGUCAACCUUAACCAUUAUUGUGCUUUGUACCUACUUGGAAGAAAGAAAUAGAAUAAAGACUGGGACUUUGAGUUUAUGAAUAGAAGC
This 1337-nucleotide long non-coding RNA is filed under the name Oryctolagus cuniculus (rabbit). RNAcentral describes it as "lncRNA (ENSOCUG00000034710.1)". Lineage: Eukaryota; Metazoa; Chordata; Mammalia; Lagomorpha; Leporidae. The record is from RNAcentral.